GGGUUUGGCUCAGUGGUAAAGUGCUCGCCUAGCAUGUGCGAGGCCCUGGGUUCGAUCCUUAGCACCACA
RNAcentral lists this transfer RNA (69 nucleotides) under Marmota monax (woodchuck). RNAcentral's name for it is "tRNA.Ala". Lineage: Eukaryota; Metazoa; Chordata; Mammalia; Rodentia; Sciuridae. The record is from RNAcentral.